This 536-nucleotide ribosomal RNA is filed under the name Clathria reinwardti. RNAcentral describes it as "LSU rRNA". It matches the Rfam family "Eukaryotic large subunit ribosomal RNA", at positions 725 to 1248 of the family's 3401-position model. The record is from RNAcentral. Lineage: Eukaryota; Metazoa; Porifera; Demospongiae; Poecilosclerida; Microcionidae.
GUGCCCGCUGUGGCGAGAGCCCCCGACCCCCCUCGGGGGCGCAUCGUCGACCGAUCCCGGGUCACGCUGUGGCGGGAUUUGAGUGAGAGCGUGCCUGUUGCGACCCGAAAGAUGGUGAACUAUGCCUGAAUAGGGUGAAGCCAGAAGAAAUUCUGGUGGAAGCCCGCAGCGAUUCUGACGUGCAAAUCGAUCGUCAAAUUUGGGUAUAGGGGCGAAAGACUAAUCGAACCAUCUAGUAGCUGGUUCCCUCCGAAGUUUCCCUCAGGAUAGCUGGAGCCCGGUGCAGUUUUAUCAGGUAAAGCGAAUGAUUAGAGGUCUUGGGGCUGAAACAGCCUCAACCUAUUCUCAAACUUUAAAUGGGUAAGAAGCCUGGCUUGCUCGGUUGAAGUCUGGCGCAGAAUGCCGGGGCUCCCAGUGGGCCAUUUUUGGUAAGCAGAACUGGCGAUGUGGGAUGAACCAAAUGCCGGGUUAAGGUGCCCGAAUCGACGCUCAUCAGAUCCCAUGAAAGGUGUUGGUUGAUACUGACAGCAGGACGG